UCCUCUCUCCUCCUACGCGCAUCCUCUCCCCUCCCCUCCCACGCGCCUCCUCUCCUCCCACCCACAUCGCUGCCGCCGCCACCCACCGCCUCGAACCGCGCCGUCGGCGGCCAGAUCCGCCGCAACAGAGCCCCCGUCCCAACGACGACGAGCAGCAGCGGAGGGAGGACGAGGAGCGCGACGGCGGCAGCGGCGGCGGGGAGCAGCAGCAGCAGGCCAAGGCGGCUAGGGUUCCCCUCCCAAACCGUAGGAGUGGAUGAGGAGGUUGAGCCGCUGCCCGCCGCCGGCCUCCUCUCCUCCCCGUUCCUCUCCAGCCACCGAGUUCGCCGCCGCUGUUCCUCCCUCCUCCUAUCCAUGGGAUCUCCACCGGCCCUCCCUCGUGCUCAAGUUGUGGAGGGGCGACAUGCAACGGUGGACGAGAAGCCGCCGCCAGUUGUCCUCUUACUGCGCCGACCUGCACCAUCUCUGCCACCUCCCCAAGCUGAUGUGCGUCGCCUCCCUCCUCUCAAUGCUGUUGUCUCUGCUGCGGUGCUAUGGCUGCCUCCCGAAGCAACUGAAGCUCGCCUGCUCCUCAUCUGUCAAUGGCGUCCCCAAGCAGUAAGGAGACCCGGAGAAGAACAAGCAACUUUAUCUGAAAAUGGAAGAGCUAGUACCAAAGAGCCCCAACCCACCUCCACGAUCAAGUUCUACAUGCAAUUCAUGGAUAGUGGUUGUCGGCACAUCUUUUAACCAAGUCAUCUCCAUUGAUCCUUUUGUUGACAAGCAGCUAGACCCAAGCGUUUCCCAUGGUAGAUCGGUUUGGCCCUGCUGUGCUACCUAACUAACUUCGAAUCAGCUGCCGUCGCAAGACCUUCCACAACUAGACCUUGACGGCGCCAGCCGUAUGGACAUCUAGGUAUAUGAUAUUUUGCUACACCAGUCUUAUGCUUUCAAGUCCAACUAAGGUUAAGCCACACAAACAUCCAUUAGUUCUUGAAUUUUUGUUUGUAAAACUUUGGAUUAACAAUCUCAAACAAUGCACAUACUUCUUAUAUUCACUAGCAAUUCUAAAUGUAUAUGUGCUUUUUCUCUAUGCUGUACUACUAAACUAUUUAUGUUAAACAAAACAGGACAUCUGCACACCUGUUCUCAAACUGGAUCAUAUUUGAAGGUUUUUAAGUAUCCUUCCAAAUUCCAAUCAUGAAUCGCCUAGGAGUUAAGCAUCAAGUUUCAACCCAACCCUUCUUCAUGGCUUCUCUGACUAAGUGAUGGUCCACCUUUUAUUGCUUAGUGUAAUUACGGAAGUGCUUAGAUUAUUGGUUAGUGGAAAGCAUGUGGUUUUGCCUCACUUUCUUUCUCAUUUAGAUCCUGCCUUAACCAUACAAAGUAGUUUGACGCCUGACAAAUAGGCUGAGCCUAUAAAUUUGACUGUGAAAAAUAAACUGAGCUUAUAAGUUUGACUGCCAUGUUAUCAACUUUCUUCCGACUGCAACCAUCUCUCUCCAUUCUAGCCGCAUUCACUUUUAUUCAUACAACCUGCUUCUGUGGUUGUAUUGUACUACAAAGCAUGAAGUUGUGUAAGCUGUACGAUACCAUGUAUACACACAUACAUUUUCUUACUGUGGUUAAUCCAAUUCCAAUGUAUAUGUGUAGCUUUGUGCUUUGCUUCCUGUCUAUCUAUAGCUUAUGAGCUGAGACAAUUCCAAGUGUGAUCAAAUAGCUUGUGUAUGUGCCUGUGUAGCUCAACAAUCUUUCAAAAUGGUUAUUCAUGUCUGGUUGCGUCUGGCGGGCAACGCGCGGCAAGUCGUGCCACCUAUAAUUGAAGCAUCGUUCAUGGUCAGGCUCGAACUGCAUCCAGCAGGUAACCGCUGAGGAUGUUUUAAAAAGCCAUCACCAAUAGCCGAGCACUCUAUUGCUGCAAUUACAUGCCGGUUCCCAGCCAUUCUGUUACCCUCCUCUCCUAUCAUUAAAAAUAGGACAGAGUUUCGCAAUCAGCGACCUGAGGCGCCACUGACAGUAUUAUCAGCUGGCAUUCAACGACCAAUGAUGCACAAUGGCACAAGCUAGUGACAUCAUCUUGAUUUUUUCUUCUGUUCAUUGCCAUUAAAAAAUAGCGGGCUGCAUUUGAGCUUCUAAUAUUCAUUUGAUGUUUCAACUAAUGGGUUUUAUACUAUGUAUUGUCGGAGAUUGGAUUGCAGAAACAUGAGAAAAUAACUUCUGAUUGGAUGACAACAAUGUUGACCUUUUUGGAGAGGAAACCUAACCGGAGAAGGCGGCAGUUGAAGAGCGUGCUGCGAAAGUGAAGGGUUCUGGCAAGAAGAAAGAAUGACCGGCACCCUCGCGCCAAGACGCGUUACCGAUCUAGUUGGAGAAGGUUACCGUUCGCCGUGGCAUGACAUGAUGCUGCGAAGGUGCCGCCGCAGUGUGACGCCAACAGAGGUCAGUUCCUAUGGUGAACACCCCCAUCUUAGCAGUAUAGCCGUAGCUGUCUGGGUGCGCAUGUCCAGAGAAACAUAGAAGCGAGCAACUUUGUAAGCAUUGGAGCGAGGGUCGUGGCCAAGACCGAAUGCCUGAGGGCCUUGGAAGCGGUUGAGGGUCGGGGGAAGCGUGAUGGUGCGCCGAGUGGCCGGGUUAACUACGUGCGCCGUAUUGUCAGUAGGCAACAGCACCAGUCCAUCGCAAUGUGCCAUCCUGUGCAACGCCGCCUUCUUGGAGUGGUAGUCGGACAUGGCGUGUAGGAGCGUGCCGACGCCCUGCUGCUUCCCAUCCCACUGAUACAAACCGGCGACGGUCAUCUCUCCGGUUGAAGAAGCAAGAGGGCGAUCGUUGUCGUUCUCCCCGAGCCACGGCGCGACGAGAAGAGACGAGGUCUGGAGGCGGAGGUGAUCGCGGAGGAAAGAGUCGUCGUCAAUGAUGUCGCGCCAGGUCUUGCAGACGGACCUGAAUCGCAGCAGCUACUCCACGGGGAGCCGGGGCAGGAUCUCCGACACUAGCUCGUCCGGCAGGUACGGUAUGUUCGCCUUUGUCGUCGUCUCGUCGUCGUGCAUGGCGGCGCUCGAGUAUUCCUUUCUUUGGAACUUUUUUAGGGCAAACUGGAGUAGUACUUCUGAGGCAAAUUGAUCGACCGGUGCAGGAUCGGUGCCUAUAUAUAUAGGCUUAGUUGGGCUCUAGUUGUAGACACGCCCGUUUACGAGGGUCUGGCUCGAUGACGUGUGGGCCAUAAGGGUCGACUCGAGAGGCGUCAAUUGAAAAAUUCCAGCGAAAAUCAGUUGGAGCUCCGAAGCACAUGGACUGUCGUGUAUUUUUAGUCAUCUGAUUGUCGAUGGCGGUGUUGCACCGUUUGUUUUCGCACUUAUGCUUCGGUAGACCCCCCAUAAAUACAAGGACGGCUCAGAUUAACCCAUACCUCUUCAUAAUAAAGGGCAUGGUGGUCAUAUUUCGUUGUAUACUUUUUUUUCAGAAUCAUUUCGCUGUAUACAUAUACGUCGUACACUUGCGAGCUGGGCGUCCCAUCCAUCACUUUUUCCUCUGAAUUUAAAUCACAAAAGAUUCUGAGAGUGCCAAGAUUCGAGCCAGCAACUUAUGGUUCAUAAUGCGUCGCCAUAGCCAACUUGCCACCACCAGUUAACAUGAAUACAAGUGUUUUUCUUAUUCUUUUCUUCUACUCUUUUUUUCCUAUUUUCUUCUUUCCUCCUUUCCCUUUUCUUGCUCUUUUUUUCACGUGUUUUGAAGCGGUUUUGUUCCGGAUUUAUUUUCCU
Long non-coding RNA from Triticum aestivum (bread wheat), 3737 nucleotides. RefSeq lists it as uncharacterized. The transcript is spliced from 7 exons. Lineage: Eukaryota; Viridiplantae; Streptophyta; Magnoliopsida; Poales; Poaceae. The record is from RefSeq and is a predicted model, not a curated record.